AUGAACGUUGGCGGCGUGCCUAAUACAUGCAAGUCGAACGGAGAGAUCGAUGUAGCAAUACAUUGAUUUUCUUAGUGGCGAACGGGUGAGUAACGCGUUGGUGACCUGCCCCAAAGAGAGGGAUAACAGUUCGAAAGGACUGCUAAUACCAUAUGUGAUCAUUUGGAUUAGAUGCCUUAUGAUUAAAGGAGCUUGCUCCGCUUUGGGAGGGGCCGGCGUGCCAUCAGCUAGUUGGUAGGGUAAUGGCCUACCAAGGCUAUGGCGGCUAGGGGACCUGAGAGGGUGGCCCCCCACAAUGGAACUGAAACACGGUCCAUACACCUACGGGUGGCAGCAGUAGGGAAUAUUGGUAAUCUGCGAAAGCGGGAACCAGCAACGCCGCGUGUGCGAAGAAGGCCUUCGGGUUGUAAAGCACUUUUCGGGAGGAAGAGGAAGGACUGUACUCCCGGAAUAAGUCUCGGCUAACUACGUGCCAGCAGCCGCGGUAAUACGUAGGAAGCUAACGUUAUUCGGAUUUACUGGGCGUAAAGCGCGUGCAGGCGGUUCGGUAAGUUGGACGUGAAAGCUCCCGGCUCAACUGGGAGAGGUCGUUCAAUACUGCCGGGCUAGAGGAUGGUAGAGGGAAGUGGAAUUCCGGGUGUAGUGGUGAAAUGCGCAGAUAUCCGGAGGAACACCAGUGGCGAAAGCGACCUCCUGGGCCAUUCCUGACGCUCAGACGCGAAAGCUAGGGUAGCGAACGGG
This 741-nucleotide ribosomal RNA is filed under the name uncultured Bellilinea sp. RNAcentral's name for it is "bacterial SSU rRNA". It matches the Rfam family "Bacterial small subunit ribosomal RNA", at positions 29 to 776 of the family's 1533-position model. Lineage: Bacteria; Bacillati; Chloroflexota; Anaerolineae; Anaerolineales; Anaerolineaceae. The record is from RNAcentral.